CAAAUAUCUGUCAAAUGUAAAUAAUAUAAAAAUAUUUGUUUAUGUUUUCACAAGGUGAGUUUUACACUCACAAGAAAAGAGAGAGAAAAUCACACAUUAUUGAAAAGUUUUUGUGCAAAAAGGAACUGUUCCAUUUUUCCUUUCUUAUUUAUUUAUUUAUUUAUUUAUAUUAUUAUUAUUUUUUUCUUGGCUACAACAUGCACUAAAUUUAUUCAGUAAUCGUUUUUUUGUAUAAGGAAAAAACAGAUUUCUGAAUAAAUUUUUGUGUAUGUUGCAGCCAAAAAAAAGGUUGCUAUAGAAGAAAAUCUUAUUUUACUGACUUGGAUCAGUUUUUCUUGUUGUUCAGCUUAUUGAAGUUUAAAAUAGAUUUUUUCAAUACAUUUUUAGACUAUGUCAUAUAUACAAAUAAUAAUCCUUUCUUCUACAGGUACAAGGCCUGAAAUGUGAGGUAGGGGACCAGUCAAUUACAUCGACCCCAGUGUUUCACUCGUACUUAAUUUAUCAACCCAGAAAGAUGAAAGGUAAAGUCACCUUUGGUGGAAUUUGAACACAGAAUGUAGCAACAGGGCGAAAUACCACUAAGCAUUUUGUCCAGCAUGCUAAUAAUUUUGCCAGCUUACUUAUAAUAUACUUAUAAUAAUAACAAUGAUAAUAAUGAAUUUAUUGUACACAGUGCUCAGUUGCACUAUAGCUCAUUAGAAAAAGUAGCCAAAAAAGUGCAUGUGCUUUAGGCUACCUUGAAGUGCAUAGAGUAAUGCACAAAAAGACAGGAAAAGUUAACAAUGAAUGAGUCAUUAAAAAAGGGAGGAUUAGAUGUAGUGUUGGAGAAUUUCAAGAAGCAUAGAAGUUUUGAAGUAUGUAGUGUCCCGACAGCUAUUAACUGAUGCAGGUAAUUUAUUCCAUGCUUCAGCACUUCUGAGAAUGAAUAAAAGUCAUGGGUGCUGUGCUGGUUUCUGAUUUUGUAAGGAUGUCCAUGUGAGUUUGACACAUGCCAAGAUUAUUGCUUGAAGUGCAUAGAUGCUAGAUGUUGGAGCUUUAAUGUGUCCAUGCAUUGGGAAGCAAGAUGUUUAGAGUGUGAUAGAUGCGUGUUGGGUAUUCAUCUGGCGUGUUUCUGAACAGAUUGAUAUUCUGAGUAAGAUAAAGUGCGGAUAUACCACAGCCAUAUACUGCUUUAAAUAGCUAGCUGGAAAGCAACUGACAAAGGUCUUACUGAGUGAUGCUAAGACAUUCAUAGGCUUCUUGACAAUUUUAGAAAUAUGGUUUGUCCAAUGUAAAUUGCUGUUGACAAUAAUGCCCAGAUCACGUUCACUAGUUAUCAAGACUGGUGUUGUGGUGGGAGUAUGUGAAAACUGGAUUUUUCCUCCCAAAAUGUAUGGUAGUGCACUUGUCAACAGCCAGCUUGAGUUUUCUUGUCAUUAAUCCAUUGCUGCAUUGUGUCUAAAUCUGAUUACAGGAAAUAUCUAUAGUGUAUAGGAUUUGUUCUUUUUAUCUCAAGGUACAGCUUGAUGUCAUCAGUUUAUUUCAACAUUAUAGCUACCUUAAAACUGACAUCUAUAUCCUUAAUAUACAUAACAAACAACAGAGGUUGAAGAACAGAUUCCUGUGGUACACCAGAUGUCAUCUCAUAUGGUGCAGAACGUUCUCCUAGAAUCAUGACUAACUCUUUUAAACUUAGAAUGAAGGACUUCAACCAGUUAUAAAGGUAAUUUCUCGCAACCAUUUCAAAGAAUUUUGCCGUAAGUCGUUUGUGUGGUGCACAAUUAAAGUCAGUGAUUCAGGUGAUGUCUUCAAAAAACUCAAUAAGUUGACCAUAACAGCUGAAGUUAGAGAUAUAUCCAAAUUCUGAGGAUGCAAUAAGGCUGUGAGAGUUCCAACAAGUUCCAAAGUGUUUCUCUAAUACUGGAAGCCAUCAUUUUGGCAAUGCAGCAAGACUGACUGGACUAGACAGUAAUUGACAGUUGACAUGUGACACCCUUUUUGAAUAGGGGAAUGAUGUUAGCAAUUUUCUACUGCCCUGGAGUAACACAGUCAUUCCAGAAUUGGAAGAAUGAAGGCUGGUGUAGAAGAAAGAGCCUGUCACAUUUGAGAGUCAUCACCAUUAAGACCAGAAGAGGCAUAGUUGUACUUAUUAUUGAGAUGGCAUUGCAACAUUGCAGGUGUAAAUUCCACAGUUGUUAUAGAAAUUGAUGUCAGAGGUGGUGAAGGUGAUACAUUGGGAUUUUCGACAGUAAAAAUGCCAGCAUAGCAUUAGCAAUGAGUUCAGCGCGUUCUUUGGGAUCAUCAGUAAUCCAGCCUGUGUGGGGAUUGCAAAGAGGGCUGUUUUCAUGGAUGCAGCUCUGAUGAUGUCUAAAAGCUGUGUGUUUUGAUGGUAAUUUUGGAGGAUGGUAAAUGACUCAAAUAGAAGUGUUGACUUGCUCAUACAUAUAUCACAGAAAAAUACCUGUUGUAAUUUAUUCAAAUCAUCACAAGAAACUGUUGAAAAGUUUGAAUAAAUGUAGACCAUCACAUCACUCCCAUGAAGAUUAAUUAGUCUUUGUAAAACAAGUUGUAAAUAUAUAUAUAUAUACAUACAUAUAUAUAUAUAUAUAUAUAUAUAUAUAUAUAUAUAUAUAUAUAUAUAUAAACAUAUGAAUGUGUGUGUAUAUAUAUAUAUAUAUAUAUAUAUAUAUAUAUAUAUAUCGGUAUAUAUGUGUGUGUAUAUAUAUAUAUAUAUAUAUAUAUAUAUAUAUAUAUAGGCACAGGCAUGCCUGUGUAAUUAGAAGCUUGCUUACCAACCACAUGGUUCCAAGUUCAGUCCCACUGCAUGGCACCUUGGGCAAGUGUCUUCUAUUAUAGCCUUGGGCCAACCAAAGCCUUGUGAGUGGAUUUGGUAGAUGGAAACUGAAGAAGACCAUAGUAUAUAUGUGUGUGUGUGUGUGUGUUUGUUACCCCCACCAUCGCCUGAUAACUGAUGUUGGUAUGUUUACGUCCCUGUAACUUAGUGGUUCAGCAGAAGAUAUCAAUAGAAUAAGUACUAGGUUUAGUCUUGGUGCCAAUUUGUUCAACUAAAGGCAGUGCUCCAGCACAGCCGCAUUCAAAUGACUGAAACAAAUAAAAGAAUAAAAGAAUAUAUAUAUGUAAGUACACACACUCAUGCACACACACUAAUCAUCAUCAUCAUCAUCAUCGUUUAACGUCCGUUCUACGAUGAUGAUGAUGAUGAUGAUGAUUAGUGUGUGUGUGUGCAUGAGUGUGUGUACUUACAUAUAUAUAUUCUUUUAUUCUUUUAUUUGUUUCAGUCAUUUGAAUGCGGCUGUGCUGGAGCACCGCCUAUAUAGAAGAAUUGGUUUGGGGGUUGAAAAUGCACCUGGCUCUUAAAAGAAGUAAUUUUUAAAAAAUUUAUGAAAAUACCAUAUCACUUUUAACAUUUUAUUUUGUUAGUUUUUUAAAUGGUAAAUAAAAAAUGAAAAUUAAAAAGAACAAGAUGAUAAUAGUAAGAAGAAAAAAAACAGAAUGCUCGCUCAGGAAAGGGAGGUUCUGCAGAAAUGAAAACAUGUUCAACAAUUAAUCUUCAAUAGGUUUCCUAGCAAAAUUACAUGCUGAAAAUUCAAGUAUUCAGUAAGUUUCACAGCAAUAGGAAAUGAUGGAAGUUUGAAUGCUCAAUGAAUUUUAUAACAAGGAAACCAGAAGGAAAGAUCCAUUAAAAGAUGGUAGUGUUUAGGUAGCUGUUUAUAUUUGUUGUUGAAAUUACAAUGAAAAUAAUUUUAUUUUUGUUUGUGAUAGGAACCUGAUAAAUAAGUCCAAAUGUCAUAAAACAAAUUUAAAAGUAGAUGGCAGAAAUCAUACCAGUAAACGAACAUAAUGGAGUGAAGAAAGAAAAAAAAUUAUCAAAAAUAGUAGAAUGAAAUUAGUAAAUAAGAGAUGAAAGAAAUAAUAAAUAAAUAACAAACAUCAUGGCUACUGAGUGGCAAAAUGUUUGUUUCCUAGCUGCAUAGUUUCAGGCACAGUCCUACUACAUGGCACUUUGGGCAAGUGACUUCGAUGACAGCCCCAAGUUGGCCAAAGGUUUGUGAGUGGAUUUAGGAGACUAAACUAUAAGAAACCUGUCAUGUGUUUAUAUAUGCUUUAAAAUGUAGUUCUAUCGAUGUGCUGGUUAAUCAAUGCUUUUCUCCAUUUUCUAAUUAUUUGCAUUGGUUCCUGAUAAACUUUUGUUUAUCUUGUUGUUACUUUUUUGUGGGAAAUCAUUGUUCGAUUUCCCACAAAAAAGUAAUUGGGAAAAUUGAAUAUUUUCUUCUUUCUAGUGUGUUAUUAAAGGAUAUUAAGUUGCGGUUUAUAUUUUUUAAUGAACAUGCUGUCCUUAUUCAAUCAGAAUUGGGUUGAAAUAUUUCUGGUGAAUUGAUAGAGAGGGAAGAUUUGGUAUUUUGGGUAUAUGUCUGUGGGACAUUUAUCUAGGUGUUUGCUUAUGGGAAUCUUCCUAGUCGUGGGGUCCCAGAUUUGUUGCUUGCAUACUGCCAGUCUAUCCCUCAAGGUCAAACUAGUUUGACUUUUGUAGUUUCCAUCACACCCACCACAUUUGAGGACAUAGAUUAAGUUCUUUAAUGCACAGGUGAAGUGAUUUUUUAAUGGAAAAAGUUUGACCUGACUUAAAUUUAUGUGCUGAGCCCUCUAAGAAGUAGAUGCAAGUCCUGCAGUUAGGGCACUUGCAUUUUUUGACUAGUGGGGUUGUAUUUUUGGUGGGUAAUUUAGCACUGGUAAGUAUCCUAUUUAGGGUUCACAGUUGUCUUUUACUUUUAAUAAUUCUAUGUUUCCAUUGCUUUUUUUACUGACAGGUCGUUCAUAAGGAGGGGUAUGUUUUGAUGGAUGAUAUUGUAUACUUCCAUGUGCUUCGGAUUGUGUGUAGAAGAGCACUAUGAAAAAUUGACAGAAAGCUAGGUGUUUGAGAAUGAUUCUAAGAAUGUACUGGCGAUACCACAUAACCAACAAAGAUGUUUUAAAGAAAUCCAACUCAAGACACUGAGUGAAAUCCUCAUAGAAUGAAGAUCGAAACUAGGAGGUCUUGUACUUCAAUUACCAAAACAAUGCCAGUCUAAAAUAGCUUUCAAAUGGUCACCACCCAAUGAAAAACAGAAAGAGAGAAAACGAUAUCAGAUGAACAGAUGUAGAAAAAACUACAACCAACAGAAACCAGUGCCAUCAACUUGCUACCUAAUGUGCUUGAGAACACAGGAGGAACUGAUACUGAUAUAUAUAUAUAUAUGUGUAUAUAUAUAUAUAUAUAUAUAUAUAUAUAUAUAUAAAGAUAGUUAAUAAGCCAUACAAGUUGUAGUAUAGAAGAAAUAAAAGAAGAUGAAAGUGAACUAAGAAUGUAUAAGAAGACUAAUUAAUAUUGGUUUCAAAUUUUGGUACAAGACCAGUUUUGGGGGGUCUGAGGUAAGUAGAUUACAUCAAUCCUAGGACUCAAAUGGUAUUAUUUUACUGACCCUGAAAGGAUGAAAGGCUAAGUCAACCUUGGCAGAAUUUGGACUCAGAGUGUAGAUACAAAUUGCUGCUCAGUAUUUUGCCUGAUAUGCUAACAAUUCUACCAUCUUGCUGCCCUAAGGCUAAUUAACAUUAACAGUAAUUCUAUUAAUCAAUGUCACCUUUAUAUAAUUUUCAAAAGUGUAAAAUUUGAGAGACAUGGACCUGGGUCGCAAAUGCAUAAUUUGAAAAAUAAUACAGUGUGAGACGCAGCUCCAUAUCCCUCAAAUCUUACACUAUUGAAAAUCACAAAAAUGUGAAACUGGUUAAGUGUAUUGAUAUUAAUAAAUAGAAAUCCUCUUAUACACUCUCAGUGCAUUUUCAACUUCUUUUAUUUCCUUCCUCUCUCUCUCUCUCUGUACACAGCGAUCGUGCUCGAAUAGUGCUUUUUACAUGCCACUGGCACGGGAGCCAAUCUGAGGCCCUGACAAAGAUCACGCUCAGAUGUGUUUUUAAUGUUCUACUGGCACGAGUGCCAAUCAGGUGGUACUGUCAUUGGCAACGUCAGCAAUUUUGAUUUGAUUUAACUUGCCUCAGUAGGUCUUCGCAAGCAAAGUCUAUUGUCCAACAACUGAGGGGUACACAGUGGAUGUGCUUUCAACGUUCACUGGCCUGAUAUUAGAACAUUUAUAGAUAGAAGGUCUUACUGCUGUUUCCAGGAUAUUUAUUAAUUAUAUCCCUUCAUCGGAGAUGGUGUGAGAGGAUGUAUUUAAAUGUAUGUAUAUUCACAUCUGUCUAACUGUUAAAAUUUCUCGAUACAGUGAAACUCAAAUGUAAAUCUCCCAGCUUAACAUCUUAUUGUCCCACCUGAGGAGUCUUCUAUGCAUUGUGAGUUGCAUCUGGUGUUAUUGCAUUUUUCCACACCAACAAGGGAGUGGUGCAUCUUGAAGAUGAAACAAUUCUUGAG
This 6403-nucleotide long non-coding RNA is filed under the name Octopus vulgaris (common octopus). Lineage: Eukaryota; Metazoa; Mollusca; Cephalopoda; Octopoda; Octopodidae. The record is from RNAcentral.